AGUGAACGCUGGCGGUAGGCCUAACACAUGCAAGUUGAACGGCAGCACAGUAAGAGCUUGCUCUUACGGGUGGCGAGUGGCGGACGGGUGAGGAAUACAUCGGUAUCUACUUUUUCGUGGGGGAUAACGUAGGGAAACUUACGCUAAUACCGCAUACGACCUACGGGUGAAAGCAGGGGAUCUUCGGACCUUGCGCGAUUGAAUGAGCCGAUGUCGGAUUAGCUAGUUGGCGGGGUAAAGGCCCACCAAGGCGACGAUCCGUAGCUGGUCUGAGAGGAUGAUCAGCCACACUGGAACUGAGACACGGUCCAGACUCCUACGGGAGGCAGCAGUGGGGAAUAUUGGACAAUGGGCGCAAGCCUGAUCCAGCCAUACCGCGUGGGUGAAGAAGGCCUUCGGGUUGUAAAGCCCUUUUGUUGGGAAAGAAAAGCAGCAGGUUAAUACCCCGCUGUUCUGACGGUACCCAAAGAAUAAGCACCGGCUAACUUCGUG
Molecule: ribosomal RNA, 492 nt
Filed under: uncultured bacterium
Lineage: Bacteria
Description: partial 16S ribosomal RNA
Rfam family: Bacterial small subunit ribosomal RNA
Source: RNAcentral